UACAGAGGUGUCAAGCGUUGUUCGGAUUCAUUGGGCGUAAAGGGUGCGUAGGGGGUUGGGUAAGUCAAAUGUGAAAUCCCGGAGCUCAACUCCGGAACUGCAUUCGAUACUGCCCGGCUCGAGGAUUGGAGAGGAGACUGGAAUUCACGGUGUAGCAGUGAAAUGCGUAGAGAUCGUGAGGAACACCCGUGGCGAAGGCGGGUCUCUGGACAAUUCCUGACACUGAGGCACGAAGGCCAGGGGAGCAAACGGG
RNAcentral lists this ribosomal RNA (253 nucleotides) under uncultured bacterium. RNAcentral describes it as "partial 16S ribosomal RNA". It matches the Rfam family "Bacterial small subunit ribosomal RNA", at positions 524 to 776 of the family's 1533-position model. The record is from RNAcentral.